Molecule: ribosomal RNA, 455 nt
Filed under: uncultured bacterium
Lineage: Bacteria
Description: bacterial SSU rRNA
Rfam family: Bacterial small subunit ribosomal RNA
Source: RNAcentral
UACGGAAGGCAGCAGUGGGGAAUUUUGGACAAUGGGCGCAAGCCUGAUCCAGCCAUGCCGCGUGCGGGAAGAAGGCCUUCGGGUUGUAAACCGCUUUUGUCAGGGAAGAAAAGGUUCUGGUUAAUACCUGGGACUCAUGACGGUACCUGAAGAAUAAGCACCGGCUAACUACGUGCCAGCAGCCGCGGUAAUACGUAGGGUGCAAGCGUUAAUCGGAAUUACUGGGCGUAAAGCGUGCGCAGGCGGUUAUGCAAGACAGAGGUGAAAUCCCCGGGCUCAACCUGGGAACUGCCUUUGUGACUGCAUGGCUAGAGUACGGUAGAGGGGGAUGGAAUUCCGCGUGUAGCAGUGAAAUGCGUAGAUAUGCGGAGGAACACCGAUGGCGAAGGCAAUCCCCUGGGACCUGUACUGACGCUCAUGCACGAAAGCGUGGGGAGCAAACGAGGAUUAGGAUA